RNAcentral lists this transfer RNA (88 nucleotides) under Methanomassiliicoccus sp. Its description in RNAcentral is "tRNA-Ser". It matches the Rfam family "tRNA". Rfam says of the family: Transfer RNA (tRNA) molecules are approximately 80 nucleotides in length. Their secondary structure includes four short double-helical elements and three loops (D, anti-codon, and T loops). Lineage: Archaea; Methanobacteriati; Thermoplasmatota; Thermoplasmata; Methanomassiliicoccales; Methanomassiliicoccaceae. The record is from RNAcentral.
GCCGAGGUAGUCUAGUCCGGUAAGGCGGUGGUCUCGAAAACCACUGGCGGUCUCCGCCUCGGGAGUUCAAAUCUCUCCCUCGGCGCCA